UGUACUGGGGGCACCCUGAUCAGCCAUGCCGCGUGAGUGAAGAAGGCCUUCGGGUUGUAAAGCUCUUUCGGCCGGGAAGAAAUCGCGUUGGCUAAUACCCAGCGUGGAUGACGGUACCGGAAUAAGAAGCACCGGCUAACUACGUGCCAGCAGCCGCGGUAAU
RNAcentral lists this ribosomal RNA (163 nucleotides) under uncultured bacterium. RNAcentral's name for it is "partial 16S ribosomal RNA". It matches the Rfam family "Bacterial small subunit ribosomal RNA", at positions 365 to 524 of the family's 1533-position model. The record is from RNAcentral.